This is a long non-coding RNA of Myotis daubentonii (Daubenton's bat), 1909 nucleotides long. RefSeq lists it as uncharacterized. NCBI's taxonomy places the organism in Eukaryota, Metazoa, Chordata, Mammalia, Chiroptera, Vespertilionidae. The record is from RefSeq and is a predicted model, not a curated record.
CCCCGCCCCACCCUGCACACAGGGGUGCAGGCACCUCUUAGUCCUUAUUAUCCAGCUCGAGACACUGGUCCCGCCCCCCCUGGGCGGAGGCAGGCCUCUCGAGGGCGGUGUGUGUGUGGGGUGGGGGGGCUUGGUGUGGACAAAUCCAUGCUCCUUAACUGCCAGGGUGACUGGGGCCUUGGCCUGGUUUCAAAGGCAGCAGGUUUAGAAGCCUCACCCUCUAACCAUCCCCGCCCACAGCUGGCCUUGCACAGAAAACCCAGCCAUGGCUAUGAACUUGGGGGAACAUGCCUUCAUCUUCUACCCCCAGCAGUCUCCCUGCCCUCCAAGCCAACCUACUGAUCACGAUAAAGAUAACUGCAGCUGCCAGGGAUGGGGCGCUACUUCUCACACUCUCUGCGAGGUAGGUUCUCCAACUCUCUCCUACAGAUCCAGCCCCGCUCCAGGCCAGCCAGACCUGACAGGCCACCUGCCUGCCGGGGACUCUUGUAAGUCACUCCCUCCGCUUGCAGGGAGGCAGCGCAGCCUGAGACCCACGGACCCUCUCCCGGCAGCACCUCCCUGCCUGGGCCCAGGGCGGGCUGGUUUCUUUUCCCCAGGCUGCCCAGGUCUGCAGGCUGGGAGAGGGAGGUAGGCCCAUUCCAGAGGGGCUUGCUGCCCUCCUGUGGCCUGGUGCCAUGGCUGCCACAACUCCCUCCUCCUGCUGUCGCUGCUACGCCUGGGCUCCAGCGGGGAGAGGGCAGGGAAGAGAAAUGUGGAAGUGGGAAGGUAAGGGGAAAGAAGUGCAGAAAGAGGGGUGGCCCAUCCAGCAUAGCUCAGUGGUUGGGCAUCCAACCUAUGAACCAGGAGGUCAGGGUUCGAUUUCCAAUCAGGGUACAUGCCCGGGUUACAGGCUCGAUCCCCAGUGUGGGGCAUGCAGGAGGCAGCCGAUUACUGAUUCUCUCUCAUCAUUGAUGUUUCUAGCUCUCCCUCUCCUUUCUCUCGGAAAUUAAUAAAAAUAUAUUUUUUUUUAAAAAGAAAGAAAGGUGGGUAGGCAUUGGGGAAGGACGGAGCCUUCUGCAGCACCUGGAGAAUGGCAACAAUAACAAAACUAAUAAUAAUAAUUGAAAGGCAGCUAGCACGUAGAACGUUUUACCACUUACAUUUUCUCAUUUAAUCCUUACAUUUACAACAAUGUGACGAGUAGCUGCUUAUGAUCAUCCAAGGCUUGGUCAUUUGUUCAAAUGUCCCAACUGGCGAAGGACAGAGCCAUCCUCACCACCUCACUGCUCCAGCCUCCAGCUGCUCCUCCCACUCAGGGGGGCACAAAGAUGGCGAGCCUCUGGGCACUGCGGGGGGCCCCCAACCCCGUGUGGCUUUGUCCUCUGUCCAUCACCCCCGUUCCCUGGCGCUGUACCCUGCUGGGGGCCCACGUGGUCAGGAUCACCAUCACCAGGAGGUCUGCUGGGACGGGGUGGCCUUGUUUGUGCCUCGGGUCUCCAGCCUCCCUGCUGCCCAAGGACUGAUGUUCGGCACCAAGCCACGCGCAGGGCCCAGGUCAUUUUUGCUGCUGAGGAGACAGAGGCAGAAAGACCAGGAAAUUCCCAACCACCAGCUAACAUGGCAGAGCCAAUAACAGCGACGGACUGAUCCAUUGGCCUGAAAAGAUGUCCUAGUGCAUUGCUUGGUUAAAAAAAAAGAAAGAAAAGAAAAAAGAAAAGAAAGCAGGUUUUAAACCUGUGGACAGAAAGAAAAGAUUUUAUUAAUGAAACAAAAUUGUUUUCUAUGUAUCUAAGUAUAGAAAAAGGAUAUUUGCCAAGAUGUUAACCAAUGAGUUUUGUUUAUUUUCUCUUGGCUGUGUUUUCUAUUUAUUUUCAAUGAGCAUUGAUUAUUCUCAUGAUUUUAAGAAUAAAAAUAAACCAAUCCCAGA